Molecule: ribosomal RNA, 494 nt
Filed under: uncultured bacterium
Lineage: Bacteria
Description: partial 16S ribosomal RNA
Rfam family: Bacterial small subunit ribosomal RNA
Source: RNAcentral
GACGAACGCUGGCGACGCGCUUAACACAUGCAAGUCGAACGGAAAGGCCUGCUUUCCCUUGUGGAUUGCGGGUACUCGAGUGGCGAACGGGUGAGUAACACGUGAGUGAUCUGCCCCCAACUUGGGUAUAAGCCUGGGAAACUGGGUCUAAUUCCCGAUAGGACUGCAGGGUGGUGCCUGUGGUGGAAAACGAUUUUCUAGUGGUUGGGGAUGAGCUCGCGGCCUAUCAGCUUGUUGGUGGGGUAAUGGCCUACCAAGGCGGCGACGGGUAGCCGGCCUGGGAGGGUGGACGGCCACAUUGGGACUGAGAUACGGCCCAGACUCCUACGGGAGGCAGCAGUGGGGAAGAUUGCACAAUGGGCGGAAGCCUGAUGCAGCGACGCCGCGUGGGGGAUGACGGCCUUCGGGUUGUAAACUCCUUUCGACCGCGAGGAAGCCACCUGGUUGGAAGGGUGGUGACGGUAGUGGUAGAAGAAGCACCGGCUAACUACGUG